GUUGAGGUAUCCAACAAGAAAGGAAAGUAUCUUUUGAGGUCAUUUGCUUCCCUUGUUUUUGAGGUAUCCAUUUGCUUUAACUUUUUGUGUUUGCCAGCUUUGUCAGAGUUUCAGUUUUUAGAGUUUUGGGUAAAUUUAGAGGAGAGGGGUCUUUAAGAAAUUAUUCAAAUAGUUUUCAAUAAUUCAUGUUUGAUUAUUGUAUGUUUUUUAAUAAAGCAAUCACUUCAAUAAAUAUUUAAAAAUAUAGAUAUUGAGUAAAUGAAAUAUGAAUUCUAAAUAUAAG
RNAcentral lists this long non-coding RNA (283 nucleotides) under Phaseolus vulgaris (common bean). RNAcentral describes it as "long non-coding RNA (PVUL_LNC003849)". The record is from RNAcentral. Lineage: Eukaryota; Viridiplantae; Streptophyta; Magnoliopsida; Fabales; Fabaceae.